GACGAACGCUGGCGGCGUGCUUAACACGUGCAAGUCGAACGGUGAAGCGCCUUCCUUUUUGGUGGGUGUGGAUGAGUGGCGAACGGGUGAGUAACACGUGAGUAACCUGCCCCCUUCUUCUGGAUAACCGCAUGAAAGUGUGGCUAAUACGGGAUAUUCUGGGUCUGUCGCAUGAUGGGUCUGGGAAAGAUAUUGUUUCGGUGGGGGAUGGGCUCGCGGCCUAUCAGCUUGUUGGUGGGGUGAUGGCCUACCAAGGCGGUGACGGGUAGCCGGCCUGAGAGGGUGGACGGUCACACUGGGACUGAGACACGGACCAGACUCCUACGGGAGGCAGCAGUGGGGAAUAUGGCACAAUGGGCGCAAGCCUGAUGCAGCGACGCCGCGUGAGGGAUGGAGGCCUUCGGGUUGUGAACCUCUUUCGCCAGUGAAGCAGGCCUGCCUCGUUUGUGGGUGGGUUGACGGUAGCUGGAGAAGAAGCGCCGGCUAACUACGUG
RNAcentral lists this ribosomal RNA (494 nucleotides) under uncultured bacterium. RNAcentral's name for it is "partial 16S ribosomal RNA". It matches the Rfam family "Bacterial small subunit ribosomal RNA", at positions 28 to 507 of the family's 1533-position model. The record is from RNAcentral.